This 804-nucleotide ribosomal RNA is filed under the name Xenoacremonium recifei. RNAcentral's name for it is "eukaryotic LSU rRNA". It matches the Rfam family "Eukaryotic large subunit ribosomal RNA", at positions 81 to 917 of the family's 3401-position model. The record is from RNAcentral. Lineage: Eukaryota; Fungi; Ascomycota; Sordariomycetes; Hypocreales; Nectriaceae.
UAGUAACGGCGAGUGAAGCGGCAACAGCUCAAAUUUGAAAUCUGGCCUUCGGGUCCGAGUUGUAAUUUGUAGAGGAUGCUUUUGGUGCGGUGCCUUCCGAGUUCCCUGGAACGGGACGCCAUAGAGGGUGAGAGCCCCGUCUGGUUGGAUACCAAUCCUCUGUAAAGCUCCUUCGACGAGUCGAGUAGUUUGGGAAUGCUGCUCUAAAUGGGAGGUAUAUGUCUUCUAAAGCUAAAUACCGGCCAGAGACCGAUAGCGCACAAGUAGAGUGAUCGAAAGAUGAAAAGCACUUUGAAAAGAGGGUUAAACAGUACGUGAAAUUGUUGAAAGGGAAGCGCUUGUGACCAGACUUGGGCAUGGUUAAUCAUCCAGCGUUCUCGCUGGUGCACUUGGCCUGCCCAGGCCAGCAUCAGUUCGGUGUGGGGGAUAAAGGCUUCGGGAAUGUGGCUCCUCCGGGAGUGUUAUAGCCCGUUGUGCAAUACCCUGCGCUGGACUGAGGUUCGCGCAUCUGCAUGGAUGCUGGCGUAAUGGUCAUCAGCGACCCGUCUUGAAACACGGACCAAGGAGUCGUCCUCGUAUGCGAGUGUUCGGGUGUUAAACCCCUACGCGUAAUGAAAGUGAACGCAGGUGAGAGCUUCGGCGCAUCAUCGACCGAUCCUGAUGUUCUCGGAUGGAUUUGAGUAAGAGCAUACGGGGCCGGACCCGAAAGAAGGUGAACUAUGCCUGUAUAGGGUGAAGCCAGAGGAAACUCUGGUGGAGGCUCGCAGCGGUUCUGACGUGCAAAUCGAUCGUCAAAUAUGGGCA